RNAcentral lists this ribosomal RNA (253 nucleotides) under uncultured bacterium. RNAcentral describes it as "partial 16S ribosomal RNA". It matches the Rfam family "Bacterial small subunit ribosomal RNA", at positions 524 to 776 of the family's 1533-position model. The record is from RNAcentral.
UAAGUAGGGUCCGAGCGCUGUCCGGAAUUAUUGGGCGUAAAGAGCUCGUAGGCGGUUUGUCGCGUCUGCUGUGAAAUCCCGAGGCUCAACCUCGGGUCUGCAGUGGGUACGGGCAGACUGGAGUGCGGUAGGGGAGAAUGGAAUUCCUGGUGUAGCGGUGGAAUGCGCAGAUAUCAGGAGGAACACCGAUGGCGAAGGCAGUUCUCUGGGCCGUAACUGACGCUGAGGAGCGAAAGCGUGGGGAGCGAACAGG